RNAcentral lists this ribosomal RNA (837 nucleotides) under Thermomonosporaceae str. IM-6923. RNAcentral describes it as "bacterial SSU rRNA". It matches the Rfam family "Bacterial small subunit ribosomal RNA", at positions 38 to 889 of the family's 1533-position model. The record is from RNAcentral. Lineage: Bacteria; Bacillati; Actinomycetota; Actinomycetes; Streptosporangiales; Thermomonosporaceae.
GGCGGCGUGCUUAACACAUGCAAGUCGAGCGGAAAGGCCCUUCGGGGGUACUCGAGCGGCGAACGGGUGAGUAACACGUGAGUAACCUGCCCUUGGCUCUGGGAUAAGCCCGGGAAACUGGGUCUAAUACCGGAUAUGACCCUCCACCGCAUGGUGCGAGGGUGGAAAGUUUUUCGGCUGAGGAUGGACUCGCGGUCUAUCAGCUUGUUGGUGGGGUGAUGGCCUACCAAGGCGACGACGGGUAGCCGGCCUGAGAGGGUGACCGGCCACACUGGGACUGAGACACGGCCCAGACUCCUACGGGAGGCAGCAGUGGGGAAUAUUGCGCAAUGGGCGAAAGCCUGACGCAGCGACGCCGCGUGGGGGAUGAAGGCCUUCGGGUUGUAAACCUCUUUCACCACCGACGAAGCUAACGUGACGGUAGGUGGGGAAGAAGCGCCGGCUAACUACGUGCCAGCAGCCGCGGUAAUACGUAGGGCGCAAGCGUUGUCCGGAAUUAUUGGGCGUAAAGAGCUCGUAGGUGGUUUGUCACGUCUGCCGUGAAAACCCGAGGCUUAACCUCGGGCCUGCGGUGGAUACGGGCAGACUAGAGGUAGGUAGGGGAGAAUCGGAAUUCCCGGUGUAGCGGUGAAAUGCGCAGAUAUCGGGAGGAACACCGGUGGCGAAGGCGGUUCUCUGGGCCUUACCUGACGCUGAGGAGCGAAAGCGUGGGGAGCGAACAGGAUUAGAUACCCUGGUAGUCCACGCCGUAAACGUUGGGCGCUAGGUGUGGGGUUCUUCCACGGAUUCCGCGCCGUAGCUAACGCAUUAAGCGCCCCGCCUGGGGAGUACGGCCGC